RNAcentral lists this long non-coding RNA (439 nucleotides) under Anas platyrhynchos platyrhynchos (common mallard). RNAcentral describes it as "lncRNA (ENSAPLG00000022129.1)". The record is from RNAcentral. Lineage: Eukaryota; Metazoa; Chordata; Aves; Anseriformes; Anatidae.
GGUGACACUGCCAUGCUGGACAGUAUUUAUUGUAAUCAUCUGCAGGUAACAGGUAGGAAUUCUGAUGAAUAUUUUGAGGCAUGAAACAGUCAAGGCAUUUGUCCAAGGUCACACAGGAAGGCUGCUGCAGAGCUAGGAAUAAAAAUUCUUCCUUACUCCAGCCUUACUAAUAUCUAUCUUUUCACUAGGUCACUCUAAUGCCACAAGAUGGACUGCUUACCUGUUAAGAAACAAAACCAAGAAAAUAUCAUUUUGGCAUCAGCUGACAAUGAGGUCAGAAGGGGCAAACUGACAAAGUGUGUUACUUUACCUGUGGUACCAUUCUGCAUUCUGCCAAAAAGAACGACCGAUGAAGAAAGACAAAGAUUUGCUAUAUAAAUAUAAUAUAAAGAAAAGAAGUCUUGAUAAUGAUAAUGAGAUCUUACUUGUUCUUUGACUA